UCAGUCAAACAGGUGGUCGCUGCGUGUCUGUGAUGGGCACGGAGAGGAAAGUCCGAGCAUCUAAAGAACAGGGUGCCAGCUAACGGCUGGUGAAGGCGACUUUAAGGAUAGUGCAACAGAAAUAGACUGCCACUUCGGUGGCGAUGGUGGAAAGGCGAGGUAAGAGCUCACCGGACGAUUGGAGACAAUCGUUGCUCUGUAAACCCCACCCGAUGCAAGGUUAAGUUUGGACAUAUGUGUGUUCUUUCACGUCCAACAAAAAUACCGCUUGAGCUUGUUGGCAACAGCAAGUCUGGAUAGAUGACCAUUUAAUACAGAACUCGGCUUAUGGUUGGCUGAAAAU
Molecule: RNase P RNA, 343 nt
Filed under: Clostridia bacterium
Lineage: Bacteria; Bacillati; Bacillota; Clostridia
Description: RNase P RNA component class A
Rfam family: Bacterial RNase P class A
About the family: Ribonuclease P (RNase P) is a ubiquitous endoribonuclease, found in archaea, bacteria and eukarya as well as chloroplasts and mitochondria. Its best characterised activity is the generation of mature 5'-ends of tRNAs by cleaving the 5'-leader elements of precursor-tRNAs.
Source: RNAcentral